RNAcentral lists this ribosomal RNA (253 nucleotides) under uncultured bacterium. Its description in RNAcentral is "partial 16S ribosomal RNA". It matches the Rfam family "Bacterial small subunit ribosomal RNA", at positions 524 to 776 of the family's 1533-position model. The record is from RNAcentral.
CACGGGGGGAGCACGCGUUGUUCGGAAUCACUGGGCGUAAAGGGCGUGUAGGCGGUCAGGUAAGUGGGAUGUGAAAUGCCCCGGCUCACCCGGGGACCGGCAUCCCAUACUGCUUGGCUUGAGUACGGGAGAGGAUGUGGGAAUUCCUGGUGUAGCGGUGAAAUGCGUAGAUAUCAGGAGGAACACCGGUGGCGAAGGCGCACAUCUGGCCCGAUACUGACGCUGAGGCGCGAAAGCUAGGGGAGCAAACGGG